CAUAGAAAUGUAAGAAAUGAAGAUAUGCUUCAGCGAAUAAGGUGCAACAUUCAGAAGCUGGACGAAGAUGCGGUCAAACAAGCAUUGAAGUUCUACAUCGGUUCCUUUAAUUACGGCUCGCGGAACAACAAUGUGUACAUCACGCAAACCAGCAGUCUCUAAAACAAUGCAUUAAUUGUAUAUAUUAUCCGAUAAAAUUGUAAAGGCAUUUGCAAACGUUGUGAAUGCCGGAUUCAAAUUAAUAAAACUUACGUUCUUAGAAUAGUUUACAAA
Dendroctonus ponderosae (mountain pine beetle) is the source of this 273-nucleotide long non-coding RNA. RefSeq lists it as uncharacterized. NCBI's taxonomy places the organism in Eukaryota, Metazoa, Arthropoda, Insecta, Coleoptera, Curculionidae. The record is from RefSeq and is a predicted model, not a curated record. The transcript has 2 exons.